AGGUUUCUUGGUCUCCCCCUGCCCCCUUUCUAGCUGUUUUGAUAGGGAAAGUAGAUUUGAAUUUCAAAUAAACACGGGAAUAGUUUUUCCCAUUGGUGCUUCAACCAGAGGCAUUGUGUUUGAUGUUGGGUGUUCUCUGUUACCUGAACGGUUCUGCAGAUGUAAAACAUUGCUUUAUGUGUGAUUUACCCAGUCAGAAGGAUGUGUGUUUUACCACGUAGCGCUUCCAUAGCAGCGUAUUGAGGCUGGCUGGCUGACCGUUUUUGCAGUCCAUGUUCAGCUUGAACCUAAAAUCCUUCUCUUAUGGAUUCUUGCAUUAUUCAACAGGAAGCAAGAGGAGCGAGUGCAACAGGUACGGAAAAAACUGGAGGAGGCACUGAUGGCAGACAUCUUGUCCCGGGCUACGGAUGCAGCACAAGUAGAUGAGGUUGAAAUGGACAAUGGAGAAGAGGCAUAAGAAUUAAAUAAUCAGGUACUUUAAAAAAAAAGAAAAAGAGACUCCCAGAUAAAAAUUUCUGGAAAUUGGAAGCGCUUUUAUGUUUUCCGUUGGUCUUUUGUGAUAGAAGAAGACCUCUGCACAUUUAUAUAGCUUUCUAAUAGCAUUAAAAACCAAUGCCCUUUUUUGGCUCUUAUUAUUAUUAUUAAUUAUUAUUUUAUUAUCCUAUUUUUGAUGUACAUAUCUUGUUAAGAAAAGAAAGAAAAAAAAAGGGAAAAAAAAGAAAGAAAGAAAAGACCCUACUCUUUAUUUUGUGUCUUACGACUUCAAAAGUCUCCUUUUAUUUGUUUGGCGAUGUUGAAUGGCUCCUGAAGACUGAAGCUGAGCUUUUUCGAUGCCAAGUUGGCGAUUCUGUUAAGGACCUGGCAAGCACUAAAUAAUGAGCAUUUCUUCCUUUUUAUGUGUGCGGGUUUUUAUUUUUUGCAAGAAUAGAUCAGGAAAACAGAUUGUUUCCCAGUUUAAAAAAAAAACAAAGAAAAGAAAUUGUGUCAUGAUUUCUUGUACAUAUAUUAUAUAAAAGAUUUUUUUAUACUGGAACUGAAUGGGAAAAAAAAUCUGUAAAUUGACCCAUCAUCAUUCUCUAAAGAUAAAUAAAUACUUUUAUUCAGAGCAAUUACACUUUUUAGAGUAAUGUACUAUAAUUUAAGGCAAGGCUCUUAUCUCUAUUACUGAGCAUUAGGCAGAGAUAAUAUUGUUCAGUGAAAAUAGCGAAAUACCGGAUGUCAAGCUGCUAAAGCCUUUGUUAAAUUUAUUGGGAAAUUUAUUUGCACUCUAACCCAAUUACGGAAGCACUUCAAUGAGUGUGCAAUUUUCCAACAUCGGAUUUGGAGCCUCCAUCCUCCUUUUUGUAAAAUGGGGAAAUCAUGACCUACCUCACAGGGUUGUUGUGAGGAUGAGCUUAAUAAAAAAAAAAGGAAAGUA
Notechis scutatus (mainland tiger snake) is the source of this 1417-nucleotide non-coding RNA. Lineage: Eukaryota; Metazoa; Chordata; Lepidosauria; Squamata; Elapidae. The record is from RefSeq and is a predicted model, not a curated record.